RNAcentral lists this ribosomal RNA (477 nucleotides) under uncultured Planctomycetota bacterium. RNAcentral describes it as "bacterial SSU rRNA". It matches the Rfam family "Bacterial small subunit ribosomal RNA", at positions 365 to 832 of the family's 1533-position model. Lineage: Bacteria; Pseudomonadati; Planctomycetota. The record is from RNAcentral.
UUCGCAAUGCCCGAAAGGGUGACGAAGCGACGCCGCGUGUGGGAAGAAGGCCUUCGGGUUGUAAACCACUGUCGGGAGUUAAGAAAUGCAAGGAUAUUAAUAGUGUCUUUGUUUGACUAAGGCUCCGGAGGAAGCCACGGCUAACUCUGUGCCAGCAGCCGCGGUAAUACAGAGGCGGCAAGCGUUGUUCGGAAUUAUUGGGCGUAAAGAGCACGUAGGCGGCUAUGUAAGUCGGUUGUGAAAGCCUUCCGCUCAACGGAAGAACAGCAUCCGAUGCUACAUGGCUUGAGUGCGGGAGGGGAGAGUGGAACUUCUGGUGGAGCGGUGAAAUGCGUAGAUAUCAGAAGGAACGCCGGCGGCGAAAGCGGCUCUCUGGCCCAUAACUGACGCUGAGUGUGCGAAAGCUAGGGGAGCAAACGGGAUUAGAUACCCCGGUAGUCCUAGCCGUAAACGAUGGGCACUAAGUAGAGGGGUUUU